UGAGAGCACCCUCUGGAGUAGU
This 22-nucleotide microRNA is filed under the name Macaca fascicularis (crab-eating macaque). RNAcentral describes it as "novel_miR54-3p". The record is from RNAcentral. Lineage: Eukaryota; Metazoa; Chordata; Mammalia; Primates; Cercopithecidae.